UACGGGGGGGGCAAGCGUUGUUCGGAAUUACUGGGCGUAAAGGGCUCGUAGGUGGCCAACUAAGUCAGACGUGAAAUCCCCAGGCUUAACCUGGGAACUGCGUCUGAUACUGGAUGGCUUGAAUUCGGGAGAGGGAUGCAGAAUUCCAGGUGUAGCGGUGAAAUGCGUAGAUAUCUGGAGGAAUACCGGUGGCGAAGGCGGCAUCCUGGACCGAGAUUGACACUGAUGAGCGAAAGCCAGGGGAGCAAACGGGAUUAGAUACCCCGGUAGUCCUGGCCCUAAACGAUGAAUGCUUGGUGUGACGGGUAUCGAUCCCUGUCGUGCCGAAGCUAACGCAUUAAGCAUUCCGCCUGGGGAGUACGGUCGCAAGGCUG
This 374-nucleotide ribosomal RNA is filed under the name uncultured prokaryote. Its description in RNAcentral is "bacterial SSU rRNA". It matches the Rfam family "Bacterial small subunit ribosomal RNA", at positions 524 to 896 of the family's 1533-position model. The record is from RNAcentral.